UAAGUAUCUUACCAAUGCCCUUCACCUUUACCUUAGAAGCAUCUCCAAAUGAAACAUGACCAUUCACCGAUUCAUCAAGCUCCAUGAAAAUUUCUUUAUGCCCGGACAUGUGGUUACUUGCACCGGAGUCCAAGUACCACAUAUUUUGAUUGGUAGCAUCUCCUCCUUUUCGUGCUAGUAGAAGCACGUCAUCUUCAUCAUCAUUUUUUUUGGCAUAAUU
RNAcentral lists this long non-coding RNA (220 nucleotides) under Elaeis guineensis (African oil palm). RNAcentral's name for it is "long non-coding RNA (EGUI_LNC035776)". Lineage: Eukaryota; Viridiplantae; Streptophyta; Magnoliopsida; Arecales; Arecaceae. The record is from RNAcentral.